This 174-nucleotide unclassified non-coding RNA is filed under the name Scleroramularia henaniensis. RNAcentral's name for it is "sequence contains ITS2". Lineage: Eukaryota; Fungi; Ascomycota; Dothideomycetes. The record is from RNAcentral.
CCAGCCUUCAAGCUCUGCUUGGUGUUGAAUGUCGUCCGGCGCCCUCGGCCGCCGGACGCGUUCGAAAAUCGUUGGCGGUGAAACUGGUUGUCCACCUCAAGCGUACCAUUUUAGUUUUCUAAGACUAGCUUGUGGAGGCGGCCAGACCGGCUUCGAAAACUCACACAUUUUCUA